GGAGAGAUGGCAGAGUGGUCGAAUGCGGCGGUCUUGAAAACCGUUGAUCUUCACGGGUCCGGGGGUUCGAAUCCCUCUCUCUCCG
RNAcentral lists this transfer RNA (85 nucleotides) under Mangrovibacterium diazotrophicum. It matches the Rfam family "tRNA". From Rfam's summary of the family: Transfer RNA (tRNA) molecules are approximately 80 nucleotides in length. RNAcentral also lists the same sequence under 6 other names. Lineage: Bacteria; Pseudomonadati; Bacteroidota; Bacteroidia; Marinilabiliales; Prolixibacteraceae. The record is from Rfam by way of RNAcentral.